Pelobates cultripes (western spadefoot toad) is the source of this 359-nucleotide non-coding RNA. The record is from the annotation of a GenBank genome assembly. NCBI's taxonomy places the organism in Eukaryota, Metazoa, Chordata, Amphibia, Anura, Pelobatidae.
CUGUGCGUAUGACACCUCAGACAUGAGGGCUGCAGGGUAAGGAGUAUGUCUGUUUCUCUUUAGUUUCACGAGGUCCCCUUUUGGGGUAUUCGGCUUUCCAUCGAUGGCAGGUGGUCAGGCAUUAUUAUGGCCAUCAAAACACCCACUUGUUGAUAUUUAUUUAUUUAUUUUCAACAAGUAUCUUUGUUCUCUAAGAAUGGAGUUUCAAAAAAGGUUGUCAAGAUCAACAAAUGCUUUUUCACAUGAUGCAGAGGCAGGCUUGAUUCUGGAAUGAUGAAUCCACGGGGUGAUCUCUGUAACUUUCACGGUGCACUACUCAGCAUGUGGUCUUGGUUAUCACUUUGGUGGCUGGAUAGGCC